GAUGAACGCUGGCGGCGUGCCUAACACAUGCAAGUCGAGCGACCGGACGAGAAGCUUGCUACCCUGAUGUUAGCGGCGGACGGGUGAGUAACACGUGUAUAACCUACCUAUCAUACUGGGAUAACUUCGGGAAACCGGAGCUAAUACCGGAUAAUAUUUUGAACCGCAUGGUUCAAAAGUGAAAGACGGUCUUGCUGUCACUUAUAGCUGGAUCCGCGCUGCAUUAGCUAGUUGGUAAGGUAACGGCUUACCAAGGCAACGAUGCAUAGCCGACCUGAGAGGGUGAUCGGCCACACUGGAACUGAGACACGGUCCAGACUCCUACGGGAGGCAGCAGUAGGGAAUCUUCCGCAAUGGGCGAAAGCCUGACGGAGCAACGCCGCGUGGGUGAAGAAGGUCUUCGGAUCGUAAAACUGUGUUAUUAGGGAAGAACAGAUGUGUAAGUAACUGUGCACAUCUUGACGGUACCUAAUGAGAAAGCAACGGCUAACUACGUG
This 497-nucleotide ribosomal RNA is filed under the name uncultured bacterium. Its description in RNAcentral is "partial 16S ribosomal RNA". It matches the Rfam family "Bacterial small subunit ribosomal RNA", at positions 28 to 507 of the family's 1533-position model. The record is from RNAcentral.